This 426-nucleotide ribosomal RNA is filed under the name uncultured bacterium. Its description in RNAcentral is "bacterial SSU rRNA". It matches the Rfam family "Bacterial small subunit ribosomal RNA", at positions 356 to 773 of the family's 1533-position model. The record is from RNAcentral.
GGGGAAUAUUGGACAAUGGGCGCAAGCCUGAUCCAGCCAUGCCGCGUGUGUGAAGAAGGCCUUUUGGUUGUAAAGCACUUUAAGCGAGGAGGAGGGUAACCUAGCUAAUAUCUAGGAUUAUCGGACGUUACUCGCAGAAUAAGCACCGGCUAACUCUGUGCCAGCAGCCGCGGUAAUACAGAGGGUGCGAGCGUUAAUCGGAAUUACUGGGCGUAAAGCGCGCGUAGGCGGUUUGUUAAGUCGGAUGUGAAAUCCCCGGGCUCAACCUGGGAACUGCAUUCGAUACUGGCAAGCUAGAGUAUGGGAGAGGAUGGUAGAAUUCCAGGUGUAGCGGUGAAAUGCGUAGAGAUCUGGAGGAAUACCGAUGGCGAAGGCAGCCAUCUGGCCUAAUACUGACGCUGAGGUGCGAAAGCAUGGGGAGCAAAC